GCCUCCGUGGUCUAAAGAAUAAGGCACAACACUUCUAAUGUUGCUGAUCGGGGUUUGAGUCCCUGCGGAGGUGCCA
Molecule: transfer RNA, 76 nt
Filed under: marine sediment metagenome
Description: tRNA-Arg
Rfam family: tRNA
About the family: Transfer RNA (tRNA) molecules are approximately 80 nucleotides in length. Their secondary structure includes four short double-helical elements and three loops (D, anti-codon, and T loops).
Source: RNAcentral